GGGUUGUGAGGUUAAGCGACUAAGCGUACACGGUGGAUGCCCUGGCAGUCAGAGGCGAUGAAGGACGUGCUAAUCUGCGAUAAGCGUCGGUGAGGUGAUAUGAACCGUUAUAACCGGCGAUUUCCGAAUGGGGAAACCCAGUGUGUUUCGACACACUAUCAUUAACUGAAUCCAUAGGUUAAUGAGGCGAACCGGGGGAACUGAAACAUCUAAGUACCCCGAGGAAAAGAAAUCAACCGAGAUUCCCCCAGUAGCGGCGAGCGAACGGGGAGGAGCCCAGAGCCUGAAUCAGUGUGUGUGUUAGUGGAAGCGUCUGGAAAGGCGUGCGAUACAGGGUGACAGCCCCGUACACAAAAAUGCACAUAUUGUGAGCUCGAUGAGUAGGGCGGGACACGUGGUAUCCUGUCUGAAUAUGGGGGGACCAUCCUCCAAGGCUAAAUACUCCUGACUGACCGAUAGUGAACCAGUACCGUGAGGGAAAGGCGAAAAGAACCCCGGCGAGGGGAGUGAAAAAGAACCUGAAACCGUGUACGUACAAGCAGUGGGAGCCUCUUAAUGGGGUGACUGCGUACCUUUUGUAUAAUGGGUCAGCGACUUAUAUUCUGUAGCAAGGUUAACCGAAUAGGGGAGCCGAAGGGAAACCGAGUCUUAACUGGGCGUUAAGUUGCAGGGUAUAGACCCGAAACCCGGUGAUCUAGCCAUGGGCAGGUUGAAGGUUGGGUAACACUAACUGGAGGACCGAACCGACUAAUGUUGAAAAAUUAGCGGAUGACUUGUGGCUGGGGGUGAAAGGCCAAUCAAACCGGGAGAUAGCUGGUUCUCCCCGAAAGCUAUUUAGGUAGCGCCUCGUGAAUUCAUCUCCGGGGGUAGAGCACUGUUUCGGCAAGGGGGUCAUCCCGACUUACCAACCCGAUGCAAACUGCGAAUACCGGAGAAUGUUAUCACGGGAGACACACGGCGGGUGCUAACGUCCGUCGUGAAGAGGGAAACAACCCAGACCGCCAGCUAAGGUCCCAAAGUCAUGGUUAAGUGGGAAACGAUGUGGGAAGGCCCAGACAGCCAGGAUGUUGGCUUAGAAGCAGCCAUCAUUUAAAGAAAGCGUAAUAGCUCACUGGUCGAGUCGGCCUGCGCGGAAGAUGUAACGGGGCUAAACCAUGCACCGAAGCUGCGGCAGCGACACUAUGUGUUGUUGGGUAGGGGAGCGUUCUGUAAGCCUGUGAAGGUGGCCUGUGAGGGUUGCUGGAGGUAUCAGAAGUGCGAAUGCUGACAUAAGUAACGAUAAAGCGGGUGAAAAGCCCGCUCGCCGGAAGACCAAGGGUUCCUGUCCAACGUUAAUCGGGGCAGGGUGAGUCGACCCCUAAGGCGAGGCCGAAAGGCGUAGUCGAUGGGAAACAGGUUAAUAUUCCUGUACUUGGUGUUACUGCGAAGGGGGGACGGAGAAGGCUAUGUUGGCCGGGCGACGGUUGUCCCGGUU
This 1474-nucleotide ribosomal RNA is filed under the name Escherichia coli. Its description in RNAcentral is "partial 23S ribosomal RNA". It matches the Rfam family "Bacterial large subunit ribosomal RNA", at positions 1 to 1512 of the family's 2925-position model. The record is from RNAcentral. Lineage: Bacteria; Pseudomonadati; Pseudomonadota; Gammaproteobacteria; Enterobacterales; Enterobacteriaceae.